CUCGAGAUCGACUUAAUUGGCUCGAGCUCGACUCGAACUCGAUAUUGACGAGCUCGUAUUCGAGCCGCUCGCGAUCGGCUCGCGAGCGGCUCGAUUCGCGAAACAGCCCUAUACAGAACCAAAGCUGAGAUCCGCAGAGCUGUUGAAGCUGAAGGGAUACCUUACGCUUAUUUAGUAUCUAAUGGUUUUGCUGGUUAUUUGAAUUAUUUCCUUAACCCCUUUGGAGACUCUAGCUCUGCAAGUCCUCCCAGAGACAAAAUUGUCAUUCUUGGUGAUGGAAAUCCAAAAGUCAUUUUCUUGAAGGAAGAAGACAUAGCUGCACACACCAUUAAAGCAGCAGAUGAUCCAAGGACCCUGAACAAGAUUGUGUACCUUAGACCACCUGCCAACACUCUGUCCUGCAACGAAAUAGUAUCAUUGUGGGAAAGGAAAAUUGGCCAGACCCUCGUAAAAGAUUUACCUUCCAGAGAAGGAAGUCCUUGAGAAAAUCCAAGAGGCUUCAAUGCCAUCAAAAUUCAUCCUGUCUCUGGGAUACACAGUUUUUGUGAAGGAUAGAAAUGGCAAACUUUGAGAUCGAGGCUUCUUUUGGCAUGGAGGCAACGGAGCUCUAUCCCGAUGUGAAAUGCACCACACUUGACGAGUACCUCAAUCAGUUUGUAUCAGACAGAGUAGCAACAAAACUGUUAUUCCCUCCGUAGCUUUCCAUUUCGAAAUGUUUCAAAAUAUUUGUCAUCGUAUACAAGAAAUAUGGGACCGAGGGAGUAUAUUAACCAAUGUUUGCCUACCAGCUUUUUUGCAACAUUUCUUAUGUACUAUUAGAAAUGUACUUUGAUUGUUCAUCUCCCUUACGGAAAAUGUCAUAAAUGUGUCUGAAAUAAAAUCUACCCUAUACUUGUUUUGCAA
Molecule: non-coding RNA, 903 nt
Organism: Coffea arabica (coffee)
Lineage: Eukaryota; Viridiplantae; Streptophyta; Magnoliopsida; Gentianales; Rubiaceae
Source: RefSeq, a predicted model, not a curated record